UCAGAAAUGAAGAUGCUUAAAAGGUGCGUUUGAAAAAAAAAGUCCAUCAUAUACUCGCAUGCUAAUAAUACACGCUGCUGAUAGUGCAUGGACAUAUUCCUAUGGACACUUGCUCACCGGGUUAUAUGAAGGGAGACAUUCGGGACAAUUUUCAGUGGGAGAUUUCUGUUUGUGCUCUGGUGCAUCUCAGCAUAUCUCCGGGCCUUCCCUCGGCCAGCCUCGUGCCAAGAGUGCAUUAUUAUCAUGAGAGCUGCCUGGGAGGAUAUCCGGCGGCGGAGCGGGAACGACACAAACCCAAAAGAUUCAGCUUCAAAGACACGGUACACCAAAACUACAUUUAUUCCUCGUUUUUCACUCUUCCCCAGAAGUGCAUUCAAGAUUGUACAUGUGCACAAGCCAGUGGGCUUGAAAUACAACAUCCAACUAACACAAACAGAACCCUCAUCCAGACACUGUACUCAAAACUGAGUCAACUGUCCAAAGUCAGUCAUAAAUA
Molecule: long non-coding RNA, 496 nt
Organism: Sinocyclocheilus anshuiensis
Lineage: Eukaryota; Metazoa; Chordata; Actinopteri; Cypriniformes; Cyprinidae
Exons: 2
Source: RefSeq, a predicted model, not a curated record